GACGAUCGCUGGCGGCGUGCCUAAUACAUGCAAGUCGAACGCAGUGGGGACGGGUGAGUAACACGGGGGUAACCUCCCAUCAGAGGGGAUAACACUUGGAAACAGGUGCUAAACCGAUACUGAUGGAUGGACCCGCGGUGCAUUAGCGCGUUGGUGAGGUAACGGCGCACCAAGGCCACGAUGCCUAGCCGACCGUAGAGUGUGAUCGGCCACACUGGUACUGAGACACGGCCCAGACUCCUACGUGAGGCAGCAGUAGGGAAUCUUAGGCAAUGGACGAAAGUCUGACCGGGCAACGCCGCGUGAGUGAAGAAGGUUUUCGGAUCGUAAAACGCUGUUGUUAGAGAAGCGGUAUCUAACCAGAAAGCCACGGCUAACUACGUGCCAGCCGCCGCGGUAAUAC
This 403-nucleotide ribosomal RNA is filed under the name uncultured bacterium. Its description in RNAcentral is "partial 16S ribosomal RNA". It matches the Rfam family "Bacterial small subunit ribosomal RNA", at positions 28 to 526 of the family's 1533-position model. The record is from RNAcentral.